GCCAGGCAUGGUGGUGCAUGCCUGUAAUUCCAGCUACUUGGGAGGCUGAGGCAGGAGAAUCGCUUGAACCCAGGAGGUGGAGGUUGCAGUGAGCUGAGAUUGUGCCAUUGGACUCCAGCAUGGGUGACAGAGUGAGACCCUGUCUCCA
Unclassified non-coding RNA from Pongo abelii (Sumatran orangutan), 148 nucleotides. It matches the Rfam family "Metazoan signal recognition particle RNA". From Rfam's summary of the family: The signal recognition particle (SRP) is a universally conserved ribonucleoprotein. It is involved in the co-translational targeting of proteins to membranes. Lineage: Eukaryota; Metazoa; Chordata; Mammalia; Primates; Hominidae. The record is from Ensembl.